This 238-nucleotide ribosomal RNA is filed under the name uncultured bacterium. RNAcentral's name for it is "partial 16S ribosomal RNA". It matches the Rfam family "Bacterial small subunit ribosomal RNA", at positions 96 to 334 of the family's 1533-position model. The record is from RNAcentral.
CGGCGAACGGGUGAGUAACACGUGAGCAACCUGCCCCGAAGACUGGGAUAACACCGGGAAACCGGUGCUAAUACCGGAUGUCCUCCUCUGGUCGCAUGGCCUAGGGUGGAAAGGAAUUUUGCUUCGGGAGGGGCUCGCGGGCUAUCAGCUUGUUGGUGGGGUAACGGCUCACCAAGGCGACGACGGCUAGCUGGUCUGAGAGGACGAUCAGCCGGAUUGGGACUGAGAUACGGCCCAG